Molecule: long non-coding RNA, 497 nt
Organism: Spinacia oleracea (spinach)
Lineage: Eukaryota; Viridiplantae; Streptophyta; Magnoliopsida; Caryophyllales; Amaranthaceae
Exons: 4
Source: RefSeq, a predicted model, not a curated record
GUAAGUCUUCCAUCUCUUUCCUCCUUUCUUCAAUUCUUUUAGGUUUUAGAACUUUCACUUUUGUUUAAGUUUUUGAUUCUUCAAUUCUUUAUGAUAGGUUUCGACAACGGAAGAGGGAGAAUCGGGGUCGUAGAAGAGGUGGAGGAGGGUGUUGGAGGUGGAAGCGUCAUUGAAACCGCCGGCGUCGCACCCUUGCUACUGUCGCAAUCGAAGCAUCUAUUUCGAAAUCCUUGGAAAGGGAAGCUUGACGGCGGAGGUUUCUGGAGAAACUAAAUUGACGGCGGCGAGGUGGAGGAAGGAGGCGGGACUGUUAGUCGGAGUUCUCCUUGUUUGGAUCAUUGGCUAAUGUGGGAGCAAUGGUUGGUGCAAUUGCUAGUGGUCAGAUUUCUGAAUACAUUGGGCGCAAAGGGUCACUGAUGAUUGCUUCAAUCCCAAAUAUCAUUGGAUGGUUGGUCGUAUCAUUUUCGAGAGAUAUCUCAUUUCUGUACAUGGGGCGA